GUGUCCGUAGUUCAGUUGGUUAGAAUGCCAGAUUGUGACUCUGGAGGUCGUGGGUUCAAAUCCCAUCGGACACCCCA
RNAcentral lists this transfer RNA (77 nucleotides) under Candidatus Peribacteria bacterium. RNAcentral's name for it is "tRNA-His". It matches the Rfam family "tRNA". Rfam says of the family: Transfer RNA (tRNA) molecules are approximately 80 nucleotides in length. Their secondary structure includes four short double-helical elements and three loops (D, anti-codon, and T loops). The record is from RNAcentral. Lineage: Bacteria; Candidatus Peregrinibacteriota; Candidatus Peribacteria.